RNAcentral lists this long non-coding RNA (1482 nucleotides) under Parus major (Great Tit). RNAcentral describes it as "lncRNA (ENSPMJG00000004970.1)". The record is from RNAcentral. Lineage: Eukaryota; Metazoa; Chordata; Aves; Passeriformes; Paridae.
CACCACUUUCCCCUGUUCCUAUUGGACCCUGACCCUCAGAUCCUCCUCCUUAAGCUCCACAUAUAUUCCUGGAUCCUCCAUUACUCCCUCUCUCUGUUUCUGGACCCCUUUGGUGUGUGGUUGGAAUAAAUCCCACUGGAACUCCACACAAUGACCCUUCCUGCCUCUCUGAUGACCUGAAGCAAUCUGUGGUGUGUCAGUAUGUGUGUGUGUGUGUGAGUGUGUGACUGCAGCCUACCCAGACGCUGACCUCUCUGGAGCUGCUUUUGGGAAGGUAGUUGUGGCAGCGGCCUCAGGGGAGACAAAGAGUUCCAUUGUCCCACCCCAAACCCCUUGUGAAGGGCGGCCCAGGUGUUCUGAUUGGGUUUGAGUCCCUGGGGGGUUUUCCCUUGGUGUGCUUCUACUGGCCCCUGACCCUGAACUCCACCCUCAAAGGUGGGGACCCUUGAGAGUUCUGUCCCUCAAACACCCCUGCUGUGCCUCUGUUCAGGGCUCUCUGUUCUGAACCUGACUUUGUUCCCAUGCUGAAUAAAUGGUUUCAUGAACGGGAGCUCGUCUCGUUCGUCUUUGAUGCUGGUCCCCAGAAUCCUGCUGCUUCCCUGGACGAGAUCCUGAGGUUGCUGACUGCAACAAAUGGUGAGAGAAUGCGUGGCAUCCAGUGAAGCAAGAGAACAGCAGGACCCAGCUCCAUGGACACCUCGUAAGUCCCCGGCUGAUGGCUUGAGAGCCGGCGAGACCCCCGCCUUGGAAAGGAGGACUCGAGAGUACCUGGCAGGGAGACUGGGUUGGGAGUGCCUCAGGCAUGGGGAAGAAAAGGGCUUACGGAGGUGUGGGAGCCGAGACCAGACGCUGGGACAAGCACCUAACAUCACCCAACGAGAUGUAUUAUGGACGAUUAUGGACGAUAUCAACAUUAUGGACGAUUACAUUAACAUUAUGGACGAUUAUGGACGGUAUGGCUCUUCCAGUGGACUGUUUUUUGUCUUCUGUGAAGUUCCUUUUUUUUUUUUUUUUUUUUCUGUUUGCUUAAUGUGUUUUGUUACUGAGUUACUGGUGUCCCACAAAGCAAAGUGGGUGCUCUGUGGAGGAGGUGAGAUUUUAAGGUGUAUGUUUGGAAACAUUUUAAGCUCAUGUUUAGAAACAUUUUAAGCUUCUAAUUAAAAUAUGGGGAAGAAAAAAAAAAAAAAAAAGAGCAGAUAUGGCAGCAGCCUCAGGGGAGACAAAAAGUUCCAUUGUCCCACCCCAAAGCCCUUGUGAAGGGUGGCCCAGGUGCUGUGAUUGGGUUUGAGUCCCUGGGGGGUUUUCCCUUGGUGUGCUUCUACUGGCCCCUGACCCUGAACUCCACCCUCAAAGGUGGGGACCCUUGAAGAGUUCUGUCCCUCAAAAACCCCUGCUGUGCCUCUGUUCGGGGCUCUCUGUUCUGGACCUGACUUUGUUCCCAUGCUGAAUAAAUGGUUUCAUAAACGAGAACCCGUCUCGUUG